Brassica napus (rape) is the source of this 2138-nucleotide long non-coding RNA. RefSeq lists it as uncharacterized. The record is from RefSeq and is a predicted model, not a curated record. NCBI's taxonomy places the organism in Eukaryota, Viridiplantae, Streptophyta, Magnoliopsida, Brassicales, Brassicaceae. The transcript is spliced from 5 exons.
GCUCAGUUGGUUAGAGCGUUGGUCUUAUGAGCCGAAGGUCGCGGGUUCGAGCCCCGCCGGGAGCAUAUGUUUUUAUUUCAUUAAUUUAUCCAAACAUUUCACAAUUUUAAAAACUAAUUGCACGAUAUCGAAUCAUCAUCUCCGUUCUCAUCUGCAAGUGAAUUCAAUUUCAAUCUCAACGCAAUUGUUGUAAUAAAAAUCUUUCCUUGGUAAAUUAUUUGACUCAAUGUUCAUGAUCCUACAUUUAUCUCAGCUCUGAUUCUCAAUCAUCAUUUCGAGAAACGUUGAGAUUUUGAUCCCACGAAAGAGACAAUGGUUCACCACGCUUACGACUCGUUCCAGCUAACAAUUGUCCCGCUUGAAUCGACGCUCUCGAAUCCUACGGCUCUAAACUACUCGCCGGAUGCUACGACGGCUCCCUCCGCAUUUACUCUCCUCAAUCCUCCUCCUCCUCUGAGCUGCGUCAAGAGCCUUACGUCCUCGAGACGGCCGUCUCUGGCUUCUCUAAGAAACCUAACUUGGAGACAGUCGCUGUGAUCACCAAAGCGAAAGGCGCGAACGCGUAUGCCUAGGACGAUGGUCAUGGCUUCCUCUGUUUCUCGAGGCAAAAGAGGGUCUGCAUCUUCAAGCACGACGGAGGAAGAGGGUUUGUUGAAGUGAGAGACUUUGGAGUUCCUGAUACUGUAAAGUCCAUUUCUUGGUGCGGUGAAAACAUUUGCUUAGGGAUUAGGAAAGAGUAUGUGAUACUUAACACUGCUAAUGGGACACUCUCUGAGGUGUUUCCUUCUGGUAGAGUUUCUCCUCCUCUUGUGACUUCUCUACCUUCUGGUGAACUUCUCUUGGGGAAGGAGAACAUUGGAGUUUUUGUUGAUCAAAAUGGAAAGCUACUUCAGACAGAGAGGAUUUGCUGGUCAGAGGCUCCAAAAGCUACUUCAGACAGAGAGGAUUUGCCUUGUUGCCACGGCGAGUUGAGGUUCGCUUGCUACGAAGCCCCUAUCCUUUAAUACAGACUGUUCUCCAAAAUAUUCGGCACCUUGUCAAGAGUAACAAUGCUGUGAUUGUUGGUUUGGAUAACUCUGUUCAUGUUCUCUUUCCUGUUUCUAUUGGUGCCCAGGUGAUUUUGACUUUAGCUCUGAGAAAAUUUGAUGUUUCUUGCUACUAGUUUGUGGGUUCGGUUUAUUCGGUUAGUUCGAGUAGUUCGAAAUUUGAACCGAAAUUUUUUUGGGUUUGGUUCGGUUCGGCUUUCAGUUAGUUCGGUUUCAAAAACUGAUACCCAAGUUUUUGUUUUUGCGGUUAGUUCGGUUUAAUUUUCGGUUGAAAUUGAAUAAAAUUUGAAAAUCUUUUGUUAUUUCGGUUCGGAAUUUCGUUAAGAUUGGUACUGUUUGGAUUUUUUUUUAAACGAACUAACCGACACCGAAAACAAUUUUUUUUUAGUUGCCGAACCGAACCGUCGAACCGAAGUAACUGAAAACCAAACUUUACGGGUCGGUUCGGCAAGUUCGGUUCGGGUAAUAACCGCAGGCCUACUACUGCUCACUGAUGAAUAUAUGAUACUAUUUUUCUGAGAAAGUGUCAUUGCAGAUUGUACAGUUAACAGCUGCUGGAAACUUUGAGGAAGCCUUAGCUCUAUGCAAGUCACUCCCUCCUGAAGACUCAAGCCUAAGAGCCGCGAAAGAGAGUUCUAUUCAUACAAGAUUCGCUCAUUAUCUUUUUGAGAACGGUGUUGGACCCGAAUAUGACCCUCAGGUGAGGUACCGAUAAGCGUGAGCUAGCAUGUGGGUUGCGAUAAGCCCAUCAUAACAAAGGGAGCUGAAAGCCGAGCUGACGACUGGACCUGGGAGACAUCAUAGCAGAGGUCACGACAGAAAGUGAGCUAACACCUUAAGAGACUCGGUCAAGAGGAGCCUAAAGCGAGUUCCGUAAUUGAAGCCGAAUAUCUCGGAGAACAGUUGAAGGGUUGCCAACGAAACCUAGACUAUAUAAAGACGGAGAAGAUAAAAGACAAGCCAUCUCUUUUCCAUAUAUCAACUUUUGUACUAGAUUAAAAGCAUUACGUAUUCUUUAGUAAUCAUCUCAAGAUACAUUCUUUUGUAUUCAUCAUCUUUCAACUCAUCAAUAAAAUCAUAUUCAUUCUUCAA